Molecule: unclassified non-coding RNA, 275 nt
Filed under: uncultured fungus
Lineage: Eukaryota; Fungi
Description: partial contains small subunit ribosomal RNA, internal transcribed spacer 1, and 5.8S ribosomal RNA
Rfam family: Eukaryotic small subunit ribosomal RNA (bases 1-73)
Source: RNAcentral
UCAAACUUGGUCAUUUAGAGGAAGUAAAAGUCGUAACAAGGUCUCCGUUGGUGAACCAGCGGAGGGAUCAUUAAUGAGUUUUAUAAACUCUUAACCCUUUGUGAACUUUACUUGGUGUUGCUUCGGCUGAUGGUUCCUGGGUGGAACUUUUAAGCUGCAAAGUCAUCAGCCGAAGGUUUUUUAAUUCUAAUUUUUUUGAUUUUCUGAUUCAUUUUUUAAAAGUUAAAACUUUCAGCAACGGAUCUCUUGGUUCUGGCAUCGAUGAAGAACGCAGC